GUACCACUUCUUAUUGAUCAAAUCAAUUCUUCUUCCUAGUUUUCUUUAUUUUUUAUUUUUUUGUAUUUGCUCAAGGCAGUCUUCCUAAAGUCCAAACAAGUGUUCAUUGUGGGCAUGAAGUGAAACCCCAACCUCUCCACCACAUGUUUGGCACGGAAUCACAGAACUCAACACAACAGCUGCCUUCACUAUCAUAUGUGCAUACUGAAUAAGAGAUUUCUGCUUUACAAGAAGCUAUUUCAGAAAGUCCAACAUACAGCUGCUCUAUCUUCAUAUGUCACUCCUUGAAGGAAGUCAUUUUACCGACUGUUCUGGACUUUUUUCUUUUUUUGGUCUGUACUCACAUACUAUAAGUGAAUAAAAUCCCAAAUAUAUGCUUCCA
Molecule: long non-coding RNA, 382 nt
Filed under: Vulpes vulpes (red fox)
Lineage: Eukaryota; Metazoa; Chordata; Mammalia; Carnivora; Canidae
Description: lncRNA (ENSVVUG00000021792.1)
Source: RNAcentral